Cryptotermes secundus is the source of this 2095-nucleotide long non-coding RNA. RefSeq lists it as uncharacterized. Lineage: Eukaryota; Metazoa; Arthropoda; Insecta; Blattodea; Kalotermitidae. The record is from RefSeq and is a predicted model, not a curated record. The transcript is spliced from 3 exons.
CUAAGAGCGAAGGCAGAUACUGCACGCAGGUUUCGACCAAUCAGAGGACCUAAACAAACCAAUUUGAAUUCCCGCAAUUAUAUGCGGUAAUGGUGGAUCAAUAUAGGCAAAUUGUAUAGACAUGAAAAGGAAAACAUGGGCUGCUGCUGGGUGCUUGUCAUCCAGCAAGCAAGGCAUCAAAUUCUUCAGCUUUCCAAGGGAUCCAGCACGGUGUGUCUGUUUUAAUUAAUGGUGUUAUUACUAUGUGUUGCUUAAUCCAAUGAAUAAAUUAAGUUUAGUGUAUGUCUGCGUUAAAUUUAUUCAACAUAACCCAAAAUUUUAGAAUGUGUACCAAGUUUGUAAUGUUUACUGAAGAAUUAUUUCUAGGUUUUAAGACUAUUUGUUCUACUUCUACAGGGCUGCGGUAUGGGCAGGAAAGGUUGGAAUAAGCUUCACUGUUGAUUCUGCUAGAAUGCUGCACAAAAUAUUUAUGCAGCAAACAUUUCCUGGAAAGUGAUUUCACUACACAUUGCAGCAAGCCACAACACCGUAUUGGCUACAGUGGGGUGCUGUGGUGAAUACCUGGCAACAGCUGUUUGAUGAUCACCUUGUGAACACAUUUGAAGCUAUUCGUUCGUAGUCUGGUUUGAACAAUAAUCCAACUGUGAGACAGUUUGUAGAUGCCCUGAACACUAACAUCAUCAGUGCACUUGCUAUCAGAGGUCUGUGUGGAACUAGUUGUGAGGAUGAUGGUGCUACUGUUGUGUGUAACCUACAGUCAUUGUUCAGGGCACCUGAUGCUUCUUCACCAAAAUCUGUCCACAAGUUGUGGCAAGGAAACCCCUGAUGAAGUUCCUGAGUUUCCAUGUUACUCAACAAGGUUGCUGCAGUACAUGCUGGUGACAGGAAAGUGUUCUCAGUAGCCUAUGUCAGUGGUUCCAUUGCCAGACAGAUGCUUCGUGGAGUCAGUUGUGAUGCACACAAGACAUGCAUGACAUCUGAAGUGCUGCUAUCAGCCAGUGUCUUCAUAUAUUUCUGAGACGUUGGUGUGGAGACUGUUGGUAGGCUGUAAUUCUAAUAUAAUGUAUGAUGGUAGGCAAUUCAAUUCAUGUUGCAGCAUAUCACAGCUGCCAUUAAGAGCUCCAUUGACUUUGAGUGGAUUAGGUGUACUGGUUGUUCACUUCACUACAAGGAAUAGUAGAUGGUAUUGUGAGAUGUCUCACAAGAAUUUACAUUCCUUGGUGGUGUAAGCGAACAAACAGGUUGAUGACUGAAUCAGCCAGCAAAGGGCCACAAAAGGGAAGAAUAAGAUACUGACACAUCAGUAAGUCAUUAGGAAAGUAAUGCUUCUUCAUCUUUGCCUUGUAAUAUCCUGCCCAUACCAGCCCUGGAAAUUGGCAGAGAGCAGUUAUUGAAUUACUGGAAUAAUAUAUUCCAAUUGCUCACAAGAGCAUCUAUAGAUGUUUCAUAAGUUGGAGAAAGUAACCCUGAUGACAAGCAACUGCAACUACCAUGCCUUCACAUGCUCUUGUCUCAAACCUCUGGUAUUGAAUAAUUUGUUGAUAACAUUGUCACCUAUAGUCAGAUUACAUACAAGAAACCUAUUCUGAUCUUGAGCUCCAUCUCUUUCAUGCUUUGCAGACCUGUUCCCUUCUUCCCAGUAUAUUAAAACAUCCUUCUCAGAAGAUGAUCAGAGUUCAUUCUGCCCUCUGUCUGAAAAUAAUAAUAUUUCAAUCGAGAAUUGUGUGGGAAAUUCUUUUCUGACUCAAAUGGCUCUUGUUUAUAUGUGGGUAAGAAUGAAGUGGCAUUACUUUAUGAUUGACUUGCAAUCUUCAGUUUCAGCGUUAAAUGCUGAGGAGCUGAAUCAAUGUCAGGAUUCAGUGUAUAUUUUGUAAUUAAAUUUAUUAACUGCUUCCUAGGUAAAAAGUUUUACUUAUUAGUGUCUACAUAUUUUAUUCAUCUAAUUUGUUAUUAUGGGUAUAUCCCUUCAGUCAUUGCAUCAUUUUGGCCAUAUUAUUGUGUUCAGCAUUGAUCUUAUGAACAUAAAUAUAUAAACAUCAGAUUUUUAAUGCUCAUUAUAUUCCUUUAGUUAUUUUAUUAUUUUGGCCAUAUUAUU